GAUGAACGCUGGCGGCGUGCCUAAUACAUGCAAGUCGAGCGAACGGACGAGAAGCUUGCUUCUCUGAUGUUAGCGGCGGACGGGUGAGUAACACGUGGAUAACCUACCUAUAAGACUGGGAUACUUCGGGAAGCCGGAGCUAAUACCGGAUAAUAUUUUGAACCGCAUGGUUCAAAAGUGAAAGACGGUCUUGCUGUCACUUAUAGAUGGAUCCGCGCUGCAUUAGCUAGUUGGUAAGGUAACGGCUUACCAAGGCAACGAUGCAUAGCCGACCUGAGAGGGUGAUCGGCCACACUGGAACUGAGACACGGUCCAGACUCCUACGGGAGGCAGCAGUAGGGAAUCUUCCGCAAUGGGCGAAAGCCUGACGGAGCAACGCCGCGUGAGUGAUGAAGGUCUUCGGAUCGUAAAACUCUGUUAUUAGGGAAGAACAUAUGUGUAAGUAACUGUGCACAUCUUGACGGUACCUAAUCAGAAAGCCACGGCUAACUACGUG
RNAcentral lists this ribosomal RNA (496 nucleotides) under uncultured bacterium. Its description in RNAcentral is "partial 16S ribosomal RNA". It matches the Rfam family "Bacterial small subunit ribosomal RNA", at positions 28 to 507 of the family's 1533-position model. The record is from RNAcentral.